Long non-coding RNA from Cylas formicarius (sweet potato weevil), 1363 nucleotides. RefSeq lists it as uncharacterized. Lineage: Eukaryota; Metazoa; Arthropoda; Insecta; Coleoptera; Brentidae. The transcript is spliced from 4 exons. The record is from RefSeq and is a predicted model, not a curated record.
GUUGUUUACAUUUUUGGUGGUUAUGAUUCUCUCCGUACCUUUUUCGUUUUUUUUGUGUUGUGUUUGUGGUCAAAAGUGUAAGGAAAACAAUGUGCCUACAUACGGGACUCCCACUCACAAACUAAAUUACAAGUGUGGCAAGUAUGAGGACCUAAUAGGAUCUUAGACAAACCCGAGUGAUUUAACAAACUGCAAGUGUACAAGAAUUACAGGAAAUAUAAGAAAACAAUUAAGCUGCAAGUUUUACUACUAACAAUCACAAGAAAUACUCCUUGACAAUUACAAAUUCUUGUAAAACUCACUGUGGGAAAGUUUUCGUUUGUCAUCACAUUUAGUGAAAAUGAAAUUGCCUUUUGGGUGGUCAAAAAUUACAGAAAUUAUUACCGCAGAAAAUGGGAAAUUACCAGAAUCAGUUCAGCUGCAACUGCAGUAGGAGGAAUCUAAACUAUAAAUCUGCAGGAUAUUUUUGGGAAGUCAUUACAGGAAAUUUUUGAGAAUUACCAGGAAUUCUAGUUUACCAAAAGAUGAAAUUGUAAGGAAACAAUGGAUAACAUUCCUUGUCAAAAAUGGAGCUGCCAGGGAGGCUGAUAGUUUUAAUAGAGCAUCCAUAUCACUCCUUUAAGCUAUAGAAGAGGUGGUAAACACUUGGUACAGUAGGCAGUGCAGUGUCUUUUAGGUAGAUAUUGUGAACAGUUGUAAAUCGGGUGACUUGUUUUCUUGCCAUUCUAUGUGCUGAUGGUACUUAAUGGCCAACCCAUAUUUACAAUGCCAAAUGGUCCCUUUUUUUUCCAACCCGACUGAUAAAAUUUAUCAAUAUGUUACCAACUUUGUUUCGGUCUAAAAUAUUUAUAUUUUUCCUGCAUAAUUUGUGACGGAAAAUUUUCCAUCUUGAACAUAUGAGAAAUUUUUGUUGAUACGGGGAUGUUUUUGGGCUUUAUUUCAGCAGACACCAGCAGAUCUUUAAUCUUGAAAACAACAUUACAAGUUAUAGAGAAGCCUGGCACAUAAUAACCAGCGGUCAUCAGUUUUUAAAAAGAACUUAAGGCACAGUAACAUAUUGUCAACAAGUAAAGUACUUCUGAUUUAAAUUUUAUUUCGAAUUUACAGUUAAUAAAAUUUUUGCUUUAGUUAUUAUACUAAUAAUUAAAAAUAGUUUAAUGUAUUAUAAAGGAAUAUUUUUUUUAUUGCUUACAUCUUCUUUUUUGCAAUUUUUAAAGGUGGUGAUAAAGUAAUAAAAAAGUUCCUUGAAAAGAGUAACACUGAAGUAUCUUAUGUCGGACGCCAUUGUGCAAAUAAAAAAUAAAUAUUAUUAUGCUAUUAAAAAAUGCAGCGUUUAUUUCUAUUUAAUUUCUUAUUGUAUUUG